CCUACGGGAGGCAGCAGUGAGGAAUAUUGGUCAAUGGACGAGAGUCUGAACCAGCCAAGUAGCGUGAAGGAUGACUGCCCUAUGGUUUGUAAACUUCUUUUAUAUGGGAAUAAAAUGUUCCACGUGUGGGCUUUUGUAUGUACCAUAUGAAUAAGGAUCGGAGAACUCCGUGCCAGCAGCCGCGGUAAUACGGAGGAUCCGAGCGUUAUCCGGAUUUAUUGGGUUUAAAGGGAGCGUAGGUGGAUUGUUAAGUCGGUUGUGAAAGUGUGGGGCUCAACCGUAGAAUUGCAGUUGAAACUGGCAGUCUUGAGUACAGGAGAGGUGGGCGGAAUUCGUGGUGUAGCGGUGAAAUGCGUAGAUAUCACGAAGAACUCCGAUUGCGAAGGCAGCUCACUGGACUGCAACUGACACUGAGGCGCGAAAGUGUGGGUAUCAAACAGGAUUAGAUACCCUUGUAGUC
RNAcentral lists this ribosomal RNA (460 nucleotides) under uncultured bacterium. RNAcentral describes it as "partial 16S ribosomal RNA". It matches the Rfam family "Bacterial small subunit ribosomal RNA", at positions 338 to 795 of the family's 1533-position model. The record is from RNAcentral.